Molecule: ribosomal RNA, 498 nt
Filed under: uncultured bacterium
Lineage: Bacteria
Description: partial 16S ribosomal RNA
Rfam family: Bacterial small subunit ribosomal RNA
Source: RNAcentral
AUUGAACGCUGGCGGCAUGCCUUACACAUGCAAGUCGAACGGUAACAGGUCUUCGGAUGCUGACGAGUGGCGAACGGGUGAGUAAUACAUCGGAACGUGCCUAGUAGUGGGGGAUAACUACUCGAAAGAGUGGCUAAUACCGCAUGAGAUCUACGGAUGAAAGCAGGGGAUCGCAAGACCUUGUGCUACUAGAGCGGCCGAUGGCAGAUUAGGUAGUUGGUGGGAUAAAAGCUUACCAAGCCGACGAUCUGUAGCUGGUCUGAGAGGACGAUCAGCCACACUGGGGCUGAGACACGGCCCAGACUCCUACGGGAGGCAGCAGUGGGGAAUUUUGGACAAUGGGCGAAAGCCUGAUCCAGCAAUGCCGCGUGCAGGAUGAAGGCCUUCGGGUUGUAAACUGCUUUUGUACGGAACGAGAAGCCCCGGGUUAAUACCCUGGGGUCAUGACGGUACCGUAAGAAUAAGCACCGGCUAACUACGUGCCAGCAGCCGCAGUAA